CUUGGAUUGAAUGUGGACUUUGUGUAUAUUUUUUGUGUAUUUUUUUCUGUGACAUGCUGCUGGUGCCACUUCACAUUCUGUAUGUUGUAGUGGGGUAGAAUCAAAGUGGCCAGUUUUAGAAUACUGUAUGUACUGUACAGCAGGUGACAGAAGUAUGAAAUUUAUAGUGAAUAAUUGUUCAAUUUUAUUGUUGUGGCCGGAGAUCAUUUCAGAAUAAAAAUGUAUGUCAUA
Molecule: non-coding RNA, 231 nt
Organism: Pelobates cultripes (western spadefoot toad)
Lineage: Eukaryota; Metazoa; Chordata; Amphibia; Anura; Pelobatidae
Source: the annotation of a GenBank genome assembly